Molossus molossus (Pallas's mastiff bat) is the source of this 192-nucleotide small nuclear RNA. RefSeq annotates it as U2 spliceosomal RNA. Lineage: Eukaryota; Metazoa; Chordata; Mammalia; Chiroptera; Molossidae. The record is from RefSeq and is a predicted model, not a curated record. The transcript has a single exon.
AUCGCUUCUUGGCCUUUUGGCUAAGAUCAAGUGUAGUAUCUGUUCUUAUCAGUUUAAAGUGUAUUAGUUAAAGAAAGUAGUCUAAAAAUAUACUUCACUAUAGUAAGUUGUUUAUUAUGAAACAGCUGCACAGGCAGUGAAGCUAUAUUCUGGAAAUUGAAGUCCCGGGCAUCAUUUUUCUGCAAGGAUUAA